Molecule: ribosomal RNA, 1475 nt
Filed under: uncultured prokaryote
Description: partial 16S ribosomal RNA
Rfam family: Bacterial small subunit ribosomal RNA
Source: RNAcentral
AGAGUUUGAUCAUGGCUCAGAUUGAACGCUGGCGGCAUGGCUAAAGCAUGCAAGUCGAACGCGAAACUGGCUUCGGCCAGGUGGACAGUGGCGAAAGGGCGAGUAAUGCGUUUCUAACGUGCCCAGAGGUCAGGGAUAGCCCAGGGAAACUUGGAAUAAUACCUGAUAACCCCGCGAAAUCGUAUGGUUUUGCGUGCAAAGGUUUACUGCCUCUGGAGCGGGGAACGUCCUAUCAGGUUGUUGGUGAGGUAAAGGCUCACCAAGCCUAAGACGGGUAGCGGGUGUGAGAGCAUGACCCGCCGCAUCGGGACUGAGACACUGCCCGGACUCCUACGGGAGGCUGCAGUAACGAAUAUUCCGCAAUGCACGAAAGUGUGACGGAGCAAUGCCGCGUGCAGGAUGAAGCCUCUAGGGGUGUAAACUGCUGUCAGGGUUUAGGAAUAUUUGAUCGGACCCAAAGGAAGGACCGGCUAACUUCGUGCCAGCAGCCGCGGUAAUACGAAGGGUCCGAGCGUUGCGCGGAAUCACUGGGCUUAAAGCGUGCGCAGGCGGAUCCGUAAGUACCUUGUGAAAUCCCAUGGCUCAACCAUGGAAUUGCUCGGUAAACUAUAGGUCUUGAGCCCGACAGAGGCGGUCGGAACGAUAGGUGGAGCGGUGAAAUGCGUAGAUAUCUAUCGGAACGCCAAAGGAGAAGUCAGGCCGCUGGGCCACCACUGACGCUCAUGUACGAAAGCGUGGGUAGCGAACGGGAUUAGAUACCCCGGUAGUCCACGCCCUAAACGAUGUGCACUAGACUCGGGAGGAUCUGACGCCCUCCGAGUCGCAGAGAAAUCAUUAAGUGCACCGCCUGGGGAGUACGGUCGCAAGGCUAAAACUCAAAGGAAUUGACGGGGGCUCACACAAGCGGUGGAGCAUGUGGCUUAAUUCGAAGCAACGCGAAGAACCUUAUCCAGGGUUUGACAUGUACGGAUUAGCUUUCAGAGACGAAAGUGACACCCUCGGGUGGAACGUACACAGGUGCUGCAUGGCUGUCGUCAGCUCGUGCUGUGAAGUGUCGGGUUAAGUCCCUUAACGAGCGAAACCCCUGCCGUUAGUUGCUAACAGAUAAUGCUGAGGACUCUAGCGGGACUGCCGGUGUCAAACCGGAGGAAGGUGGGGAUGACGUCAAGUCCUCAUGGCCUUUAUGCCCUGGGCUGCACACGUGCUACAAUGGCGUAUACAAAGCGACGCGAUACCGCAAGGUGGAGCAAAUCGCAAAAAGUACGCCUCAGUUCGGAUUGUGGUCUGCAACUCGACCACAUGAAGUUGGAAUCGCUAGUAAUCGCGUAUCAGCUAUGACGCGGUGAAUAUGUUCCUGAGCCUUGUACACACCGCCCGUCACGUCAUGGGAGCCGGGAGCACCCGAAGUGGUCACAACUCAGUGGUUCCUACGGUGAGCUCGGUGACUGGGACGAAGUCGUAACAAGGUAGCCGUA